Long non-coding RNA from Gekko japonicus, 261 nucleotides. RefSeq lists it as uncharacterized. The transcript has 3 exons. NCBI's taxonomy places the organism in Eukaryota, Metazoa, Chordata, Lepidosauria, Squamata, Gekkonidae. The record is from RefSeq and is a predicted model, not a curated record.
GAAAGACAAGAGCGAACUGAAGAAGCGCAAGCUCCUGGCUGAAGUGACUAUGAAGACGUACUGGAUCAGAAAAGGCAGUGCUUUUAGUACCACCGUCACCAAGCAGGAAACAGACCUUACGCCGGAGAUGAUUGCCAGUGGCUCCUGGAAAGACUUGAAGUUCAAGGCGUAUAACUUUGAGGCCCUGGGCAUCAUGCCCGAAAGCGGUCAUCUCCACCCGCUGCUGAAAGUCCGCAGCCAGUUCCGGCAGAUCUUCCUCGA